This 216-nucleotide long non-coding RNA is filed under the name Mytilus galloprovincialis (Mediterranean mussel). Lineage: Eukaryota; Metazoa; Mollusca; Bivalvia; Mytilida; Mytilidae. The record is from RNAcentral.
CUUGUUUUUUUUGGUUUUCUUUUAUUGAAAACGCUAUUUAUCAGUCUGUCAAUACUUAAGCUUUGAAAUUCCAUUGUACUUUCAUUGAUUGGAGUGUACACAGUAUCUGAUACAUACAUCUGUACAUGAUACAAGUGUGUACAAGCAUGUACCUAUUGAUUGAUUGAUGACUGUUAUCUGAUUCCAUCUGUCUACACAAUCUUACCUACACCAGCA